ACAGCAGCAGCCGCGGUAAUACGGAGGGUGCAAGCGUUAAUCGGAAUUACUGGGCGUAAAGCGCACGCAGGCGGUCUAACAAGUCAGAUGUGAAAUCCCCGGGCUUAACCUGGGAACUGCAUUUGAAACUGUCAGGCUGGAGUCUUGUAGAGGGGGGUGGAAUUCCAGGUGUAGCGGUGAAAUGCGUAGAGAUCUGGAGGAAUACCGGUGGCGAAGGCGACCCCCUGGACAAAGACUGACGCUCAGGUGCGAAAGCGUGGGGAGCAAACAGGAUUAGAGACCCGAGUAGUCCCUGUCUCUUAUAC
RNAcentral lists this ribosomal RNA (305 nucleotides) under uncultured bacterium. RNAcentral's name for it is "partial 16S ribosomal RNA". It matches the Rfam family "Bacterial small subunit ribosomal RNA", at positions 505 to 807 of the family's 1533-position model. The record is from RNAcentral.